This 281-nucleotide ribosomal RNA is filed under the name uncultured Bacillus sp. RNAcentral describes it as "partial 16S ribosomal RNA". It matches the Rfam family "Bacterial small subunit ribosomal RNA", at positions 1100 to 1382 of the family's 1533-position model. The record is from RNAcentral. Lineage: Bacteria; Bacillati; Bacillota; Bacilli; Caryophanales; Bacillaceae.
AACCCUACGUUUAGUUGCUAACGCGUGAAGGCGAGCACUCUAGACGAACUGCCGUUGACAAAACGGAGGAAGUGGGAUGACGUCAAAUCAUCAUGCCCCUUAUGUUCUGGGCUACACACGUGCUACAAUGGCCGGUACAGACGGACGCAAAGCCGCGAGGUGGAGCAAAUCCUAAAAAAGCCGGUCUCAGUUCGGAUUGCAGGCUGCAAUUCGCCUGCAUGAAGUCGGAAUCGCUAGUAAUCGCAGGUCAGCAUACUGCGGUGAAUACGUUCCCGGGCCUU